This 641-nucleotide long non-coding RNA is filed under the name Ananas comosus (pineapple). Its description in RNAcentral is "long non-coding RNA (ACOM_LNC015500)". The record is from RNAcentral. Lineage: Eukaryota; Viridiplantae; Streptophyta; Magnoliopsida; Poales; Bromeliaceae.
AUUAACAAAAAAAGUAAAAAUAUUUAAAACUUCAACUAUCAUCCGUUUUGAUGUAACUAACUAAUCUUUAAAAAAAUUCAAUUUUAUUACUUAACAUUUUCAUUCAUUUCGAUUCUGACUCAAGUGGCGAACCAAAUAUAAUGAGGUAAUGAAUCAUCCUGAUUUCAUUUUCAGCUUAUUCUCAUUCCGAUUUCGAUACUGAUUCCGAUUUCAAACUAAACACACUUAAAUGUAGCUAAAAUACAUAAUUUUUUUUUUGUAAAUACUCAUUUUUUAUUUUUUCUUCUGACUUUUAAAAAUGUGAAGUAUAUGAAUAUUUUUAUAUUUACAUUGUUAGAGAACGGUAUUUAAAUAUUUUUAUAUUUAACAAAAAUCUAUAUUUUAUCCUUUUAAAAUUAUAAGUUGAUACAUUUAAUCCCCUUCCGUCAAAAUUUCUCACUAUUCUAUCCAUUUCUUAUAAGUUAUACCAAAAUUAUUCUUGAAAAUAACAUAACUAUAUUAAAAUUUUAUUUUUUUUAUUAAUCAUUUUGCCAUCUCUAUUAACACAGUAACCCUCUAGAAAUAAUUGUAAAACUUUAAAAAGACAAAAUAUAAAUUUUUAAAAUAAAAAAUUAAUAUUUAUAGAAAAAUAUUUGUAUUUU